RNAcentral lists this ribosomal RNA (465 nucleotides) under uncultured bacterium. Its description in RNAcentral is "partial 16S ribosomal RNA". It matches the Rfam family "Bacterial small subunit ribosomal RNA", at positions 28 to 507 of the family's 1533-position model. The record is from RNAcentral.
GACGAACGCUGGCGGCGUGCUUAACACAUGCAAGUCGAACGGAAAGGCACCUUUGGGGGUACUCGAGUGGCGAACGGGUGAGUAACACGUGAGUAACCUGCCCUUGACUUCGGGAUAACUUCAGGAAACUGGGGCUAAUACCGGAUAGGAAUCCUUGCUGCAUGGUGGGGGUUGGAAAGCUUCGGCGGUUUUGGAUGGACUCGCGGCUUAUCAGCUUGUUGGUGGGGUAGUGGCUUACCAAGGCUUUGACGGGUAGCCGGCCUGAGAGGGCGACCGGCCACAUUGGGACUGAGAUACGGCCCAGACUCCUACGGGAGGCAGCAGUGGGGAAUAUUGCACAAUGGGCGGAAGCCUGAUGCAGCAACGCCGCGUGCGGGAUGACGGCCUUCGGGUUGUAAACCGCUUUCAGCAGGGGCGAAGCUUGUGGUGACGGUACCUGCAGAAGAAGCACCGGCUAACUACGUG